RNAcentral lists this ribosomal RNA (492 nucleotides) under uncultured bacterium. Its description in RNAcentral is "partial 16S ribosomal RNA". It matches the Rfam family "Bacterial small subunit ribosomal RNA", at positions 29 to 507 of the family's 1533-position model. The record is from RNAcentral.
AGUGAACGCUGGCGGCAUGCCUUACACAUGCAAGUCGAACGGCAGCAUGAUCAGACUUGCUUGAUAGAUGUGGCGUGUCGCAGGGGUGUGAAAUAUAUAUGGGCGUCUAUUUUAUCGGGGGGUAACUCGUCGAGAAAUUAACUCUUACCGCGCACACGCCGUACGGGUGAGUGCAGGGGCGCAAGGCACCUUGCUCUAGUGAAUGCGCCGAUGUCGUAUUAGCUAGUUGGUGGGGUAAAGUCCCACCAAGGCGACGAUCCGUAGCUGGUCUGAGAGGAUGAUCAGCCACACUGGAACUGAGACACGGCCCAGACUCCUACGGGAGGCAGCAGUGGGGAAUUUUGGACAAUGGGCGAAAGCCUGAUCCAGCAAUGCCGCGUGUGUGAAGAAGGCCUUCGGGUUGUAAAGCCCUUUUGUUCGGAAAGAAAAGGAGCUGGUUAAUACCUGGGGGUGAUGACGGUACCGAAAGAAUAAGGACCGGCUAACUACGUG